CAGAGUUGAGGUUUUGAGGCCUGACAGGACUACAGAACUGGCAAAGAUUUAUCGGUCGCUUAAUUCGAGUGAAGUGAUGAUUGGUGUUCAUGGUGCUGCCAUGACUCAUUUUCUGUUUAUGAAGCCUGGUUCAGUGUUCAUACAAGUGAUUCCUCUUGGAACAGAAUGGGCAGCGGAGACAUAUUAUGGAGAGCCUGCUAGGAAACUUGGUUUGAAGUAUAUUGGGUACCAAAUUAUGCCCAGAGAAAGCUCAUUGUUUGAUAAAUAUGAUAAAAAUGAUCCUGUUCUACGAGACCCAAGAAGCAUAGCACAAAAGGGUUGGCAGUACACCAAGAAAAUCUAUCUUGACAGCCAAAAUGUGAUGACAACAUCUCCAAGAUCAAGAAA
RNAcentral lists this unclassified non-coding RNA (387 nucleotides) under Hevea brasiliensis (rubber tree). The record is from RNAcentral. Lineage: Eukaryota; Viridiplantae; Streptophyta; Magnoliopsida; Malpighiales; Euphorbiaceae.